GGUUACUGCUAUCGGUGUUCGCCUAAGCCAUGCGAGUCAUAUGUUCUUCGGAACAUGGCGUACUGCUCAGUAACACGUGGAUAACCUGCCCUUGGGUCCGGCAUAACCCCGGGAAACUGGGGAUAAUUCCGGAUAACGCACAUAUGCUGGAAUGCUUUAUGCGUCAAAUGGAUUCUUCUGCCCAAGGAUGGGUCUGCGGCCUAUCAGGUAGUAGUGGGUGUAAUGUACCUACUAGCCUACAACGGGUACGGGUUGUGAGAGCAAGAGCCCGGAGAUGGAUUCUGAGACAUGAAUCCAGGCCCUACGGGGCGCAGCAGGCGCGAAAACUUUACAAUGCGGGAAACCGUGAUAAGGGGACACCGAGUGCCAGCAUCAUAUGCUGGCUGUCCGGGUGUGUAAAAUACACCUGUUAGCAAGGGCCGGGCAAGACCGGUGCCAGCCGCCGCGGUAACACCGGCGGCCCGAGUGGUGAUCGUAAUUAUUGGGUCUAAAGGGUCCGUAGCCGGUUUGGUCAGUCCUCCGGGAAAUCUGACGGCUUAACCGUUAGGCUUUCGGGGGAUACUGCCAGACUUGGAACCGGGAGAGGUAAGAGGUACUACAGGGGUAGGAGUGAAAUCUUGUAAUCCCUGUGGGACCACCUGUGGCGAAGGCGUCUUACCAGAACGGGUUCGACGGUGAGGGACGAAAGCCGGGGGCACGAACCGGAUUAGAUACCCGGGUAGUCCCAGCCGUAAACGAUGCUCGCUAGGUGUCAGGCAUGGCGCGACCGUGUCUGGUGCCGCAGGGAAGCCGUGAAGCGAGCCACCUGGGAAGUACGGCCGCAAGGCUGAAACUUAA
This 837-nucleotide ribosomal RNA is filed under the name uncultured archaeon. RNAcentral's name for it is "bacterial SSU rRNA". It matches the Rfam family "Archaeal small subunit ribosomal RNA", at positions 21 to 859 of the family's 1478-position model. The record is from RNAcentral.